GACGAAGGUGGCGAGCGUUGUUCGGAAUCACUGGGCAUAAAGCGCACGUAGGCGGUGUCGUAAGUCGGGUGUGAAAUCCCUCGGCCUAACCGAGGAACUGCGCCCGAUACUGCGAUGCUUGAGGACCAGAGGGGUGCAUGGAAUUUCCGGUGGAGCGGUGAAAUGCGUUGAUAUCGGAAGGAACUCCGGCGGCGAAAGCGAUGCACUGGCUGGUUUCUGACGCUGAGGUGCGAAAGCCAGGGGAG
RNAcentral lists this ribosomal RNA (245 nucleotides) under uncultured bacterium. RNAcentral's name for it is "partial 16S ribosomal RNA". It matches the Rfam family "Bacterial small subunit ribosomal RNA", at positions 524 to 768 of the family's 1533-position model. The record is from RNAcentral.